This 497-nucleotide ribosomal RNA is filed under the name uncultured bacterium. Its description in RNAcentral is "partial 16S ribosomal RNA". It matches the Rfam family "Bacterial small subunit ribosomal RNA", at positions 28 to 507 of the family's 1533-position model. The record is from RNAcentral.
GACGAACGCUGGCGGCGUGCCUAAUACAUGCAAGUUGAGCGCUGAAGGUUGGUACUUGUACCAACUGGAUGAGCAGCGAACGGGUGAGUAACGCGUGGGGAAUCUGCCUUUGAGCGGGGGACAACAUUUGGAAACGAAUGCUAAUACCGCAUAAAAACUUUAAACACAAGUUUUAAGUUUGAAAGAUGCAAUUGCAUCACUCAAAGAUGAUCCCGCGUUGUAUUAGCUAGUUGGUGAGGUAAAGGCUCACCAAGGCGAUGAUACAUAGCCGACCUGAGAGGGUGAUCGGCCACAUUGAGACUGAGACACGGCCCAAACUCCUACGGAGGGCAGCAGUAGGGAAUCUUGGGCAAUGGACGAAAGUCUGACCGAGCAACGCCGAGGGAGUGAAGAAGGUUUUCGGGUCGUAAAACUCGGUUGGUAGAGAAGAACGUUGGUGAGAGUGGAAAGCUCAUCAAGUGACGGUAACUACCCAGAAAGGAACGGCUAACUACGUG